UACGUAGGGGGCAAGCGUUAUCCGGAUUUACUGGGUGUAAAGGGAGCGUAGACGGCACGGCAAGCCAGAUGUGAAAACCCGGGGCUCAACCCCGGGACUGCAUUUGGAACUGCUGAGCUAGAGUGUCGGAGAGGCAAGUGGAAUUCCUAGUGUAGCGGUGAAAUGCGUAGAUAUUAGGAGGAACACCAGUGGCGAAGGCGGCUUGCUGGACGAUGACUGACGUUGAGGCUCGAAAGCGUGGGGAGCAAACAGG
This 253-nucleotide ribosomal RNA is filed under the name Dorea longicatena. Its description in RNAcentral is "partial 16S ribosomal RNA". It matches the Rfam family "Bacterial small subunit ribosomal RNA", at positions 524 to 776 of the family's 1533-position model. Lineage: Bacteria; Bacillati; Bacillota; Clostridia; Lachnospirales; Lachnospiraceae. The record is from RNAcentral.